GGGCUGAACGGACCGCGAUCUGUAGACGCGGAGGGGAUGCGGGAGCCGGAGGGCUUCAGGAGUAAGAGCUGAUGAAUUGGUAGCUUUUCACAUGAGCCUUGUUUUUUUUUCUUCUUUUUUUUUUUUAAAGAGGACUUUCCCCCAUGCAGCGUUGCCAGUUCGCUCUCAGCAAAAGCAUUAUUGAAAGAUUCGCUACUGUGCCUGUGGCAGCUAGCAGCCUCCAAGUUCAUUCAGUCUCCAGAUCUCCAUGAAGCCCAGGAGGAAGCGUGCUGUGGAGAAUCAGGAGCAGAGGGAGGUGUCCACAAGGAGUAUUGAUGGUGUUGUUCCUGAACAGAUUGUCCUGACCCUCUCUGAACAGGACCUCUUAACAACAUGGCAGACAAUGAAAGGUUGCAAUCUCAUCCCUUGAUCCCCCCGCACGCAGACUGCAAUGGCUCGUAAUUCCCUCUGUCUGUAUUCUUCAGGUUGGUUUAACUCAGGCUGCCUCGAUAGCGCCAUUUAAAUUACAGGCUUAAAGAGGCCAUGUAGUCAAGAUAACACCUAAUUUGAGGAGACCUUUUUCUAAAACUGCCUGUGUCUUUAUUGCACCCUUUCAUCUUGAUGCUUAGUUUUACAAACCGUUUGAUACAGCAGGUUUUUCAAGUCACGUCUUUGAAGUAAAAUGAUUUCCCUGCC
Long non-coding RNA from Brienomyrus brachyistius, 675 nucleotides. RefSeq lists it as uncharacterized. The record is from RefSeq and is a predicted model, not a curated record. Lineage: Eukaryota; Metazoa; Chordata; Actinopteri; Osteoglossiformes; Mormyridae. The transcript has 3 exons.